RNAcentral lists this transfer RNA (65 nucleotides) under Pollostacris sp. OR322. Its description in RNAcentral is "tRNA-Asp". Lineage: Eukaryota; Metazoa; Arthropoda; Insecta; Orthoptera; Acrididae. The record is from RNAcentral.
AAGGUAUUAGUUAAAAUAUAACAUUAAAAUGUCAAUUUAAAAUAACUAAAAUAUAGUAUACCUUG